RNAcentral lists this ribosomal RNA (402 nucleotides) under uncultured Clostridium sp. RNAcentral describes it as "bacterial SSU rRNA". It matches the Rfam family "Bacterial small subunit ribosomal RNA", at positions 355 to 774 of the family's 1533-position model. Lineage: Bacteria; Bacillati; Bacillota; Clostridia; Eubacteriales; Clostridiaceae. RNAcentral also lists the same sequence under 1 other name. The record is from RNAcentral.
UGGGGAAUAUUGCACAAUGGGCGAAAGCCUGAUGCAGCAACGCCGCGUGAGUGAUGAAGGCCUUCGGGUUGUAAAGCUCUGUCUUUGGGGACGAUAAUGACGGUACCCAAGGAGGAAGCCACGGCUAACUACGUGCCAGCAGCCGCGGUAAUACGUAGGUGGCAAGCGUUGUCCGGAUUUACUGGGCGUAAAGGAUGCGUAGGUGGAUAUUUAAGUCAGAUGUGAAAUACCCGAGCUUAACUUGGGUGCUGCAUUUGAAACUGGAUAUCUAGAGUGCAGGAGAGGUAAGUGGAAUUCCUAGUGUAGCGGUGAAAUGCGUAGAGAUUAGGAAGAACACCAGUGGCGAAGGCGACUUACUGGACUGUAACUGACACUGAGGCAUGAAAGCGUGGGGAGCAAACA